AGAUUUAGUGGCGAACGGGUGAGGAUCACGUGAGAAACCUGCCCCAGACUUUGGGAUAACAGUUGGAAACGACUGCUAAUACCGGAUGCCUUCAUUUGACCGCAUGGUUCACUGACGAAAGGAAAUCCGGUUUGGGAGGGUCUCGCGGCCUAUCAGCUUGUUGGUGGGGUAAUGGCCUACCAAGGCAACGACGGGUAGCUGGUCUGAGAGGAUGAUCAGCCACACUGGGACUGAGACACGGCCCAGACUCC
This 251-nucleotide ribosomal RNA is filed under the name uncultured bacterium. RNAcentral describes it as "partial 16S ribosomal RNA". It matches the Rfam family "Bacterial small subunit ribosomal RNA", at positions 88 to 339 of the family's 1533-position model. The record is from RNAcentral.